AAGGAUCAUUAAUGAGUUGUGANGGGGUUUGAUGCUGGCAGCCAAUUUUUGGAUGCAUGUGCUUGCCCUAACAAUCAUCUUCCAAACACCUGUGCACAUUUUUGAGGGAGUUUCGAGUUUUAUUGCCGUUUUUGGUGAUUUUCUUGCAUUCCCUUAAAUUAUUAUACGCUGUUAACAAUGAUGAACGUGCUCUGUGCCGCAAGGCCAUUAAUAUAAUACAACUUUUAACAACGGAUCUCUUGGCUCUCGCAUCGAUGAAGAACGCAGCGAAAUGCGAUAAGUAAUGUGAAUUGCAGAAUUCAGUGAAUCAUCGAAUCUUUGAACGCACCUUGCGCUCCCUGGUAUUCCGGGGAGCACGCCUGUUCGAGUGUCGCGAAAUUUCUCAAGCUUGGAUGGCUUUUUUGUCUGUCCUUAGCCUUGGUUGUUGGGCUUUGCCGUGUCCUUUGUUGGGACGGCUGGCCUUAAAAGCAUUAGCUGAUCCUCGUGUGGCACUGGUUCUACUCAGCGUGAUAACAGUCUGAUCGCUGAGGACAUCUUUUGGGAUGGCCAGUUCUCAUUUGGGUUGCUUCCAAACUUGGUUUUGCAGAUUCUUCAAUCUGUGUUCCACUUUUCAGCUUUGACCUCGAAUCAGGUGGGACUACCCGCUGAACUUAA
This 654-nucleotide ribosomal RNA is filed under the name Clavulina aff. cinerea CB08439. RNAcentral's name for it is "eukaryotic LSU rRNA". The stretch from base 220 to 373 matches the Rfam family "5.8S ribosomal RNA". The record is from RNAcentral. Lineage: Eukaryota; Fungi; Basidiomycota; Agaricomycetes; Cantharellales; Hydnaceae.